CAAGAGUUGCCAAUAUAAAAAAAACAUCAUUCGAAACAAAUCCGGGCCGCUUGGGCAUGACCUUCACCUCUCCUUUCUCGUCCAGCAGCGCUCCGUCAGUCCAAGCGUAGCCUUGCAUUCUUUGCGUCCCUAGAAACAACGUUGACGUGCACAAGCAAAGUCACGCAUCAUAAAUGCCGUUUAUUCUAAAAGAAAGAGUGAUUUACCGCUAAGCAGUAUGAAUCUGAGGCAGAAAAUUUAUUCAAGCUCUGAAGUCCCAAACAACUGAAAAUGCUCCAAAACACCAUCACGUGACCCUGGUAUUCUCAAAGUGCUGGUGAAAUAGCAGACACUACAUCUGUCUAUGAGCAAUGGACAGAACUGAGAAUACCUUAUCAUGAACAGUAGUGUGCACUGCUGGCAACAUCCUGUUUUUUUGGCACACAAUAGCAUCCCUCCUGAUCAAGUGAAAAGGAAUCCUAUGACACCGCUUGAUCUUUGUCUGACAUGGAAAUCUGCAAAUCAAUUAAUGGUGGAAGAAUAACAUCUGGUUAAAAAAAUUAUGUGGAAAAGUCAGCGGGUCAGAAAUCACCCACAUAACUGCUGUUAUCUGAACACAGUUCAGGUUUGAUAUCCAUGAACUUUUCAGGUAUUGAGGGGUUGUGGGGUCCAAAGUCAUCUGAAAAUUAUUGAACACAUGAAUAAUGGACAUGAAAUGUAAAUUACAACAUAAAAUAGAAUGGUCAUGUGUGUAAAGACAUGUCAUGUUCAAUGGUCACUUUCAAAUUUAUCUUCUUUUAAGGUGGUCGAAAAUAACAUGGCUACAAAUAUACCAACACACUUUUGUUGAUAUAUUUUAACCAAAUUCAGUCUGUAGAUGUGUUAUGUUCAGGUACCAAGCGCUGAAGUCAGCUAAUGUUUGUUUGUUUUAACCUUCAGUUGUUAAAAACUUUUACUUUUCUGACAAUCCCAGCCGUGGUGUCUCUAGAUUAAUGUUCACAAAAAUCAGUCCACCUUGGUGAUUCUGUGUUAGAAUAGGUCCACUGCAACCUAUCCUUGUUAUAAGGGACGAGUUAAGUGAUUGGGUGGUCAGGUUCGGUGACUUGGUUAGUUGCUUGUUAUUGUAACAAGAUGACAGUGAUAAUAUGACUGGUUUUUCCAGGCCAGACUGAAUUAUUUCCAGGUUAUCUUCAUAUAGCUGAUAAAAUAUAUAUGGCGGACUGCUGUGUUUAAUAAAACUAAGACAAUCACUGAAAUCGGAUCAGAUUCUAAAUAUGGCCGCCAUGUCAACCAUAUUGAAUUUGUCAAUGAUGCUAAAUUAUAUUACAUUGUACUUUGGGGCAUAGUAUGAUUUUUGUAACUGCUGUUACUUUUGUUCUUCACAUGUGCCCCCUUAUCUACAUUUAAUGCAUUUUCGUUUAGUCCUUUUGGUUUUAUGCAUAUACCGGUAAAUUGGAGUGAUGAAUGAAUUGGACAAAAUAUCAACACUGUAAAUGGUGACACAGGAGUGUAUUAAAUGUUAUGAAUUUAUCUAAGUGUUAUAAUAAAAAUGACUUUGAGAAAACAGCCACAUAAGUACCAUUUAUCAGAGCGGCAAAUCAGUUCUAGAAAUGUGAAUUUUAUUGGGAUUCCAAACUGUAUAUUUGUUCAAGAUAAGGAUUUGAAAUAUCUGAUGUUGGUUCUUUUUGUAAUGUUGGAAGAUAAACAUAAAUACAGUCAUCCCUUGCUAAAACACCCUUCAUGAUACCACAGAUUGGGUUAAACUUCAGGUAAAAUAUAUGGGUCACAUAAAUUUAAAUACUUCUCCUUUCCUUCCCCCCCCCCAAAAAAAACAAACAAACAACAACACAUUUUUAAGCAUAUCAACAAUUCUGCUCUGAAUUUAUGCAAGUUUUUUAUUUUUAUAAAUGUUUUUAUUGUUCCCAGAGUUGUAGAUUAAUACAGUAUUCCGUCAAAAACAUAUUUCGGUUUGCAUAGAAUGGCACAAUACACUCUUUAGAAUAUAAAAGGGUUGAAAACAAACAUUGUCCUAUUUCAAACCAAAAUGGUUGCAACACACAGUCAGACUCAAACAUAUCAUGUAUCAACAGAGAGCUAUGAAUCAAAUGCUGAGAAUAAAGGUAACCAUUUUUGUUAAAGUUACUUUUGUCAUCCUUUUUUAUAGCAAUAAAUUUCUCGAUUGAAUAUAUGUUUUUAAACAAUUUUAAAAGUAUAUCUAAUUUCGAUUUGGUUCCUUUAAUUCCACUUACAUGAAUAUGCCUUUUUCCCAAUAAAACUAUAUGAUUGAAUAAAGUAUUAGAGUAGUUAGAACCAAACCAAAUAAGAUAUUUUGUCAAUUUAAUUUUUUGUGGAAGAUAAUUGUUAAGGCAAAGUUCGAGAUCAUUCCAAAAUUGUUUAGUUUCAUUACAUUCCCAAAAGACAUGGCUGACGUCCUCAUUGACAGCAUUACAAAAGUUACAAACACAGUUGUCUACAAGAUUCAUUGUUAAUAGUUCCUUAUUUGUGUAGAUAAUUCCAUGUAGAAAUCUGUAUUGAAAAUCUAAAAGUUUUACAUCCUUCAGUUUAUAUCUAUAAACAGUAAAUAUCGUUUUCCAAUUAAAAUCACAGUGAAAAAUUGGUUGCCAUUUAUUACAAACUUUAAGAUUAUUUUCAUUUGAUAUUAAUUUAUCAUAAAAGAUUCUAGCGCCUUUUACAGGCUUAGUCAGAUCACUUAAGCAACUGUUUAUAUACAAAUUCUGUAAAAUAAUUUUCUAGUUUUCUUGAUUGUUAUUUUCCAUGAUUCUGGUAUAUGCAAUUUAUGCAAGUUAGUCCUGUUGUAAGGAUGUACAGAUGGUCAUGAAGAGUGUUCAUUGUAUACAUCUAGACUUUGGACAUAUGUUUGCAAUCUAUUUGAUUAAGUUUAGUCAUAUUUUUAUUUGAAAUACUAUGUGCUUCUUAAAACACUUGCCUUCAAAUAUUUGUACUUAUGUUUUUGAUCGUGCAACUUUCUAUGUACUUAUCGGGUUGGAAUGAUCAAAAGGGUAGCAGUUGCUAAGCAUAAUGCCAGAUAAUAAAUCUUGAAAGUGUGCUUUCACUAAUUGUUGUAUCAAUAGGCAGAGAAAUGUGUGAAUGUAAAAUAUUUGAAAUAUUUCAUUUGAGGUUUGAGAUUAAAUGCAAAUUUUACAGUAUUUUAAUGUCCAGGUUCGAGAUAUCGUCUGCAUGUCAAUCUACAAUGAUGAGUUAUCUGUUGUGAGCACCUCCUCAGAAACUACUGGACCACUGAAGCUGAAACUUCGCAUUUGUUGAUCACAUCAGAAUUUGUUCAAGACGUUCAAAUCCAAAUUCCAGUAUGAUCUUUGCACUUAAACUACACUGGUAGCUGAAACUUCUUAUUGCCAUUAUUCAGUCAGUUUUGUACAAGUUCUAAUGAAAUUUGGGAGUAAAAAAAUAUUUCUGAUUUUUCAUAAUUCAUAAUUUUGACCUUGCUUUAACCAUGCUUUUAAAUUCUAUCAAAAUGCAUAUUUGUGUAUGUUAUGGGAUUCAAAAAAUAUUUCUGGUUUUUCAUAAUUCAUAAUUUUGACCUUGCUUUGACCAUGCUUUUAAAUUCUAUCAAAAUGCAUAUUUGGCAAUGUAAACUUCUCUAAAUUUGCCAGACUGAGGGAGCUGAAUUUGUGCCGUGUGUGUUUCUCCUCAAGAUGACAGCAUGAUUUGUUCAGAUAUUUUAGUGUUUUUAGUCCUCAGUAUUUAUAUGGAAAAUAUAAAAAAUAUAUAUAUGCAGGGUAGCAAUGAUAGUCUCUGUAUAGUGGUUGUCUCUUUUGUCAUUAUAAAGUGUUGACUACAUGUCCAGGUGAGCUACACUGUUGUAGCACUAUUUUUAACCAGCCUAUGGGCUAUCAUUACCAAAUUCAUUCACCUAUCUUUGGCAAAUAUUGUAGCCUUAUAGAUAAGAAGAAUAAAAUAAUAAUCUGUAUGUUUAAAUUAUACAUUUAACUCGUUCAGUUUUUUUUUUUUGUGGUUUCAGAUAUCCGCUUUAAUGAAGUCAUGAACUGGACGCUGCGCUCUUGAUUCCAGCACUAAUAUUGUCAUGACCAAAUGUUAAUAAUUUUCAUAUUCAGCAAGUUGAAGAUGACUGACACCAUCUUUAAGUUUCACAAAUAUGUUAUUCAGAAGUUUUUUGUUUUCACUACUGAUUUAUAUAUAGUAUUAAAAAAUGGAUUUCUGCAAUAGAAUAAAGUAUUGAAAUACA
This is a long non-coding RNA of Haliotis rufescens (red abalone), 4204 nucleotides long. RefSeq lists it as uncharacterized. Lineage: Eukaryota; Metazoa; Mollusca; Gastropoda; Lepetellida; Haliotidae. The record is from RefSeq and is a predicted model, not a curated record. The transcript is spliced from 5 exons.